GCAUAACGCGAAGAACCUUACCAAGGCUUGACAUACACGAGAACGGGCCAGAAAUGGUCAACUCUUUGGACACUCGUGAACAGGUGGUGCAUGGUUGUCGUCAGCUCGUGUCGUGAGAUGUUGGGUUAAGUCCCGCAACGAGCGCAACCCUCGUUCUAUGUUGCCAGCACGUAAUGGUGGGAACUCAUGGGAUACUGCCGGGGUCAACUCGGAGGAAGGUGGGGAUGACGUCAAAUCAUCAUGCCCCUUAUGUCUUGGGCUUCACGCAUGCUACAAUGGCCGGUACAAAGGGCUGCAAUACCGUGAGGUGGAGCGAAUCCCAAAAAGCCGGUCCCAGUUCGGAUUGAGGUCUGCAACUCGACCUCAUGAAGUCGGAGUCGCUAGUAAUCGCAGAUCAGCAACGCUGCGGUGAAUACGUUCCCGGGUCUUGUACACACCG
Molecule: ribosomal RNA, 439 nt
Filed under: uncultured bacterium
Lineage: Bacteria
Description: bacterial SSU rRNA
Rfam family: Bacterial small subunit ribosomal RNA
Source: RNAcentral